GUUAACUUCUCACUAGAGGCGGGGGAAGUGUAGUUUAGAGUAGUUUCACAAAGUUUCUGAAGAUGGGGAUUUUGGGCUGAAUAUGAAGGGGAAUGGAUGCAAAACCCUGUGCCUUGCACAUCUCCCAAGAUGUGGGUCAGUGCUACCAAUUCAGCUUUCUGCAUGGAGGAAUUUUGUGGGAGAGGUUCUGCCCAGACAGUUUUUUCCAGUGUAACAACUGCAGCCCCUGCAUACCAUUCCCCAUCCUUGAUGAAACUGCUACCAUCACAGAAGAGGGUCAAGUCUGGGUGGUCCAUGGAACAUCAGUCAGGUCUGGUUGCAAGCUCUGAACACUCUCCACUACUUCCAGGUAGUCGUGGAGGAGUUCAUUUUCUGCAGAGUCAGCAGGCCCUCCUUACCCUUUGUGGCCUCAUAGAGGAGUCUCGCUAGCUCAGUGAACCGUGGGAUCCAGAGCCUACAGUAUCCAACAGUCCCCCAAAACUCACACAACUUCCGCCGAGUGUCUGGAGCAGGUAUUUGAAGGAUAGCAUUCACUCUACUACCAGAGAGCAAGCGCUUGCCUUGGUGUGGGACAUAACCCAGGGCAAGGCAGGGCGGUGAUGGAACAGGAGAUUGCAACAGAGAAGGUAUGACCUGCCUGACCCUCAGCAGUCUACCACCAGGUUGCCCUGGGCCAGCCCCGCUCCGCUGUUCCCACCGGAUGCAAGGAGGCUUGGUAGUUACAGGCAUCACUCCAUGGGUCCAUCAUUCCAGAGUGAGAAGAGCCCAUACUCCGGACAAAGAAAUACAUCAGUAGAAAGCCCAGCUAGACCUCCAGAUCCUCUCCACCUCUGCAUCUGACGAUUACCCUCUUGACUAAUGAACACCUGCACACCAUGGAUCCUGGCCCUCGCCAGAAUGGAAUCUCUCAUCCUGGGCAUUAAACUCUCUGCUGCUGGCCCCUCUGACUAAACUGUUCCUCAAAAAGUUGUCCUUUCUGUUGUCUAUUGGGUAAUCCUUAAGUUGUUCUGCUGUGCUUACCUGUCUCUCCUAGCUGAAUUCAAGUCUCAGCCUACAUUUCCAAAGUACCUCUCUAUAAUGUUUAACUACAAAAGUUAUGAAGUGCAUGGUCCUUAGCCAAGGGAGCUGCCCUCAGUGGCCCUACACCUUUAGCACCCGUCCUCUCACACUCAGAUAAACCAGCCUGAGUGUAAUGCUCAGCUGCAUAAAAAUAAAUUAGGACUGAAAAAACUAUUUUUGUUAAGCACAGACUUAAGAGUCUGAAGGACUCAUUGCAACCUAUAAUGCAUAAAAACAUAAUCAUUUGUGUUCUUCACAAACUACUCAAGUCUUUAAUGAAAAAGUCACAAGGAAAAAGUCCUAGCUCAAAGACAAGCCAUUAUAACCCUGUCAUAAACCAAAAAGACAUUGCCCCCUAAAAUGAAGUGUUUAAAGGGGCAUCAGAGGUGGGAGUGAUAAGGAAAAUAUCCAACACAGCCGUCCAGGUCAGCAAACCGCUUUUUUCCUCCUGUUGGCAAACCCCUCCCAGCUCCCCCUUCCCCUCCUCUAGGCUCCUCUUUUGCCCUGCGCAUGCGGAAAUGCCACGUAUCAAAAUAAUAUAAGUUGCUACCCUUGGUUGUGCGCAGGGCUCAGACCUUGGGAGAUUACUCCUCUCUGGGCCCACUGGUGUGAAAUAAACCUCAAAACUCCAAGA
Long non-coding RNA from Manis pentadactyla (Chinese pangolin), 1693 nucleotides. RefSeq lists it as uncharacterized. The record is from RefSeq and is a predicted model, not a curated record. NCBI's taxonomy places the organism in Eukaryota, Metazoa, Chordata, Mammalia, Pholidota, Manidae. The transcript has 5 exons.